Long non-coding RNA from Malania oleifera, 301 nucleotides. RefSeq lists it as uncharacterized. The record is from RefSeq and is a predicted model, not a curated record. The transcript has 3 exons. NCBI's taxonomy places the organism in Eukaryota, Viridiplantae, Streptophyta, Magnoliopsida, Santalales, Ximeniaceae.
CGACGGAUUUGCGAUGGAUCGGGAAACGGAAGGUGACGUUGGAUUCCUGGUUCCACUACCGCCAUUUCUACUAGAGCAGAUUUGCCGUGGAAGCGAUUUAGGCACUAUUCUUGGGGGUCCGAGUGAGUGCCGCAGGCAUCUUUUCGGGAUCUCUAUUGGCGUAGUGCAAGAAAUCAAGUUCUUCUGGAGAUCAGGUUUGAAGGCCUAGGCUGGGACUGUUUUUGUUGGUUUCUCUUUGGGGUAUUGUGAGAUACUGAUAUAUGUAUAGAUAUAUUUGUACGAGAUUAAGUUUUAAAUACUG